GAUGAACGCUGGCGGCGUGCUUAACACAUGCAAGUCGAACGGAAAGGCCGAAGCUUGCUUCGGUACUCGAGUGGCGAACGGGUGAGUAACACGUGGGUGAUCUGCCCUGUACUUCGGGAUAGGCUUGGGAAACGGGGUCUAAUACCGGAUAUGAGCUGCGCUGGCAUGUUGUGUUGCAAGACUUUACUGUGUUGGGGAAGGCGCCGGCCUACUAGCUUGUUGGUGGGGUGAUGGCCUACCAAGGCGGCGACGGGUAGGCGGCCUGAGAGGGGGUUAGGCGACACUGGGACUGAGAUACGGCGCAGACUCCUACGGGAGGCAGCAGUGGGGAAUAUUGCGCAAUAGGCGCAAGACUGAUGCAGAGCAGCCGCGUGGGGGAUGACGGGCUUCGGGUUGUAUACUCCUUUCGCAAUCGACGAAGCCUUUUGGUGACGGUAGGUUGAGAAGAAGCACCGGCUAACUACGUG
Molecule: ribosomal RNA, 467 nt
Filed under: uncultured bacterium
Lineage: Bacteria
Description: partial 16S ribosomal RNA
Rfam family: Bacterial small subunit ribosomal RNA
Source: RNAcentral